This 497-nucleotide ribosomal RNA is filed under the name uncultured bacterium. Its description in RNAcentral is "partial 16S ribosomal RNA". It matches the Rfam family "Bacterial small subunit ribosomal RNA", at positions 28 to 507 of the family's 1533-position model. The record is from RNAcentral.
GAUGAACGCUGGCGGCGUGCCUAACACAUGCAAGUCGAGCGAACGGACGAGAAGUUUGCUUCUCCGAUGUUAGCGGCGGACGGGUGAGUAACACGUGGAUAACCUACCUCUAGGACUGGGAUAACUUCGGGAAACCGUAGCUAAUACGGGAUAAUAUUUUGAACUUCAUGGUUCAAGAGUGAAAUACGGUCUUGCUGUCACUUAUUGAUGGAUCCGUGCUGCAUUAGCUAGUUGGUAAGGUAACGGCUUACCAAGGCAACGAUGGAUAGCCGACCUGAGAGGGUGGUCGACCACACGGGAAGUGAGACACGGUCCAGACUCCGACAGGGAGAAGCAGUAGGGAAUCUUCCGGGAGGGGCGAAAGCCUGACGGAGCAAAACCGCGUAAGUGAUGACGGACUCCGGAUCGGAAAACGCUGUUGUUAGUGGAAAACUAAUAUGUUAUUAACUGUGACCAUAAUGACGGUACCUAGAGAAAAAGCCCCGGCUAACUACGUG